RNAcentral lists this ribosomal RNA (253 nucleotides) under uncultured bacterium. Its description in RNAcentral is "partial 16S ribosomal RNA". It matches the Rfam family "Bacterial small subunit ribosomal RNA", at positions 524 to 776 of the family's 1533-position model. The record is from RNAcentral.
GACAGAGGGUGCAAACGUUGUUCGGAAUUACUGGGCGUAAAGCGCGUGUAGGCAGCUGUGCAAGUCGGGUGUGAAAGCCCUGGGCUCAACCUAGGAAGUGCACUCGAAACUGCAAAGCUGGAGUCCUGGAGAGGAAGGCGGAAUUCUCGGUGUAGAGGUGAAAUUCGUAGAUAUCGAGAGGAACACCGGUGGCGAAGGCGGCCUUCUGGACAGUGACUGACGCUGAGACGCGAAAGCGUGGGGAGCAAACAGG